GUAGGGAAUUUUCGGCAAUGGGCGGAAGCCUGACCGAGCAACGCCGCGUGAGGGAAGAAGGUCUUCGGAUCGUAAACCUUUGUCUUUGGGGACGAGAGAGGACGGUACCCAAGGAGGAAGCCACGGCUAACUACGUGCCAGCAGCCGCGGUAAUACGUAGGUGGCGAGCGUUGUCCGGAAUUACUGGGCGUAAAGGGCGUGUAGGCGGUUUUUUAAGUCAGGCGUGAAAACCCGAGGCUUAACCACGGGAUUGCGUUUGAGACUGGAAGACUUGAGGAUCGGAGAGGGCAGUGGAAUUCCCAGUGUAGCGGUGAAAUGCGUAGAUAUUGGGAGGAACACCAGUGGCGAAGGCGGCUGCCUGGACGACACCUGACGCUGAGGCGCGAAAGCUAGGGGAGCAAACGGGAUUAGAAACCCUAGUAGUCC
This 426-nucleotide ribosomal RNA is filed under the name uncultured bacterium. RNAcentral's name for it is "bacterial SSU rRNA". It matches the Rfam family "Bacterial small subunit ribosomal RNA", at positions 354 to 796 of the family's 1533-position model. The record is from RNAcentral.